This 372-nucleotide ribosomal RNA is filed under the name uncultured bacterium. RNAcentral describes it as "bacterial SSU rRNA". It matches the Rfam family "Bacterial small subunit ribosomal RNA", at positions 524 to 898 of the family's 1533-position model. The record is from RNAcentral.
UACGGAGGAUGCAAGCGUUAUCCGGAUUCAUUGGGUUUAAAGGGUACGUAGGUGGCCAAUUAAGUCAGUGGUGAAAUCCUGCCGCUUAACGGUAGAACUGCCAUUGAAACUGGUUGGCUUGAGUACAGUUGAGGUAGGCGGAAUGUGUAGUGUAGCGGUGAAAUGCUUAGAUAUUACACAGAACCCCGAUUGCGAAGGCAGCUUACUAAACUGUAACUGACACUGAGGUACGAAAGCGUGGGGAGCGAACAGGAUUAGAUACCCUGGUAGUCCACGCUGUAAACGAUGCUCACUCGCUGUAUGCGAUACAUUGUAUGCGGCCAAGCGAAAGUCUUAAGUGAGCCACCUGGGGAGUACGUUGGCAACAGUGAA